This 468-nucleotide ribosomal RNA is filed under the name uncultured bacterium. Its description in RNAcentral is "partial 16S ribosomal RNA". It matches the Rfam family "Bacterial small subunit ribosomal RNA", at positions 28 to 507 of the family's 1533-position model. The record is from RNAcentral.
GAUGAACGCUGACAGAAUGCUUAACACAUGCAAGUCUACUUGAAUUUGGGUUUUUUAACUUAGAUUUGGGUGGCGGACGGGUGAGUAACGCGUAAAGAACUUGCCUCACAGCUAGGGACAACAUUUGGAAACGAAUGCUAAUACCUGAUAUCAUGAUUAUAAGGCAUCUUAGACUUAUGAAAGCUAUAUGCGCUGUGAGAGAGCUUUGCGUCCCAUUAGCUAGUUGGAGAGGUAACGGCUCACCAAGGCGAUGAUGGGUAGCCGGCCUGGGAGGGUGAACGGCCACAAGGGGACUGAGACACGGCCCUUACGCCUACGGGAGGCAGCAGUGGGGAAUAUUGGACAAUGGACCAAGAGUCUGAUCCAGCAAUUCUGUGUGCACGAUGACGUUUUUCGGAAUGUAAAGUGCUUUCAGUUGGGAAGAAAAAAAUGACGGUACCAACAGAAGAAGUGACGGCUAAAUACGUG